GCGGUACUGCCCGGUACGAUCUGGAGUGAAAAUCCCUGAGGCUAUAAGCAAAUCCAAGGGAGCUGUCCCUGCCCGGUGCACCAGUUCGGCUGUGGCAUCGAUGCAUAUGGCGCCCACCUGACGUUGAGGCGUCAGAGGAUUUCCAAGAAAACGGCCCAUGGUGGUUCCGCC
RNAcentral lists this non-coding RNA (171 nucleotides) under Aurantiacibacter gangjinensis. RNAcentral describes it as "Erythrobacter sp. K7-2 6S / SsrS RNA". It matches the Rfam family "6S / SsrS RNA". From Rfam's summary of the family: E. coli 6S RNA was the first non coding RNA to be sequenced, but its function was unknown until recently. It consists of 184 nucleotides that fold into an extended hairpin structure with a large single-stranded internal bulge. Lineage: Bacteria; Pseudomonadati; Pseudomonadota; Alphaproteobacteria; Sphingomonadales; Erythrobacteraceae. The record is from Rfam by way of RNAcentral.